GAUGAACGCUGGCGGCGUGCCUAAUACAUGCAAGUCGAGCGAACAGACGAGGAGCUUGCUCCUCUGACGUUAGCGGCGGACGGGUGAGUAACACGUGGAUAACCUACCUAUAAGACUGGGAUAACUUCGGGAAACCGGAGCUAAUACCGGAUAAUAUAUUGAACCGCAUGGUUCAAUAGUGAAAGACGGUUUUGCUGUCACUUAUAGAUGGAUCCGCGCCGCAUUAGCUAGUUGGUAAGGUAACGGCUUACCAAGGCAACGAUGCGUAGCCGACCUGAGAGGGUGAUCAGCCACACUGGAACUGAGACACGGUCCAGACUCCUACGGGAGGCAGCAGUAGGGAAUCUUCCGCAAUGGGCGAAAGCCUGACGGAGCAACGCCGCGUGAGUGAUGAAGGUCUUCGGAUCGUAAAACUCUGUUAUUAGGGAAGAACAAAUGUGUAAGUAACUAUGCACGUCUUGACGGCACCUAAUCAGAAAGCCACGGCUAACUACGUG
This 497-nucleotide ribosomal RNA is filed under the name uncultured bacterium. RNAcentral's name for it is "partial 16S ribosomal RNA". It matches the Rfam family "Bacterial small subunit ribosomal RNA", at positions 28 to 507 of the family's 1533-position model. The record is from RNAcentral.